AGGGCCAGAUCACCCAGAAAGCACCUGAUCUCAGCUGAUCUCAGAAGUUAAGCAGGGUUGGCCCUGGUUAGAACUUGAGCAGGAGAUGUCUCUUUGACAUACUGGCUUCAUUUCCUU
RNAcentral lists this ribosomal RNA (117 nucleotides) under Microcebus murinus (gray mouse lemur). Lineage: Eukaryota; Metazoa; Chordata; Mammalia; Primates; Cheirogaleidae. The record is from RNAcentral.